AUUUUAAAUCCCGGCAUGCAAAAAUCAGGAGAAAACGUCACGACCUACAGGAAGUAGUUGAUAUUUUUUCAUUAAUUAUUGAAUUUCUCCUUUAUUACUGCACAUAUAGCGAUAAAACUUUGUGAAUAUAUAUAUUAUGUCAUAAUGAACAUAUUUAAACCAUAAGUAAAAAAUCGUGAAUUUUCCCUUUAACAUAGUAUUUUACUCCAAUAAGUAUAACAUAGUUAUAAUACUCCAAUAAGUAGUUUGUAUGUAUUUAACAUGAUGGAAAAGAUAUUUUGAAAAUUUUACUUUGCCAUUAUAUAUUGACCCCUCUACCAUGGUAUAUUGAACCCCCUAAUAUAGAAUUUGGAUUUCAAUUAAUCUAGCCGUUAUAACUCUUUAACAUAGUAAUUAUAUUUCAAUAAGUAGUUUGUAUGUAUUUUACUUGCUGGAAAAGGUGUUUUGAAAAUUUUAUUUAGCCAUGGUAUUUUUAACCCCCCCUCCCCAUUUGAGGUAUAUUGAAUCCCCCCUCUAUAGACCUCUCAUUUCAUGAUGGAGAUAUUUUGAAAAUUUUACUUUGCCAUUGUAUUUUGACCCCCCUGCGGUAUAUUGAACCCCCCCCCACUAUUGUCCUCAUUUAAAAAUAAAUUCUGGCUAUAUUAACUCCUUAACAUAGUAUUAAUACUCCAAUACUUGGUUUGUAUCUAUUUUAUUUGCUUAAAAAGAUGUUUUGAAAAUUUUACUUAGCCAUGGUAUUUUGACACCCACCCCCCUGCAGUAUAUUGAACCCUCACUAUAGACCUCUCAUUUCAGAAAUGCUAGCUAACUCCUUAAGGUUUAUAAACCCUUCUGUGGCCAUUUUUGUACAAACUUUUCAAACAUCAAUUGUAUUAAAACUACAGAUAUAAUGAAUAAUAGAGAUGUGCCAUUUUGUAUAUAUACCAGGGAGAAACUUGAUGCAAAGCAUUAUUAUUUACUGUUUCAUUGCGUUUAAGAGAAAAAGAGUACUUUUUGCAAAUCUACAGCCUUUAAAAAGGAUAUUUUGAAAAUUUUAUUUUGUCAUGGUAUUUUGACCCCCUACCAAUGGUAUAUUGAACCCCCUACUAUAGACCUUGGAUUUUAAAAAUCCAGCUGUUAUAACUCUUUAAAAUAGUAAUUAUAUUCCAAUAAGUAGUUUGUAUGUAUUUCACUUGCUUGAAGAGAUGUUUUCAAAAGUUUACUUAGCCAUUGUAUUUUGAACCCCCUGCGGUACAUUAAAUCCCCUACUAUAGACCUCUCAUUUCAAAAUUUCUAGCUAUACUAACUCCUUAUUAUAGUAAUAAUACUUAAAUAAGUAGUUUGUUUGUAUUUAACGUGAUGGAAAAGAUGUUUUGAAAAGUUUCCUUUGCCAUUGUAUUUUGACCCCCCUGCAGUAUAUGGAACCCCCACCUUCUCCAAGACUAUAGAUCUCUCAUUUCAAAAAUUCUAGCUAUACUAACUCCUUAACAUAGUAAAAAUACUUCAAUAAGUAGUUUGUAUGUAUUUAAAAUGAUGGAAAAGAUAUUUUGAAAAUUUGACUUUGCCAUGGUAUUUUGACCCCCCCACCUUGAGGAAUAUUGAACCCCCUAUUAUAGACCUCUCAUUUUUAAAAAUUCUAGCUACUCUAACUCUGGAACAUAGUAAUAAUACUCCAAUAAUUAGUUUGGAUGUAUUUAACAUGAUGGAAAAGAUAUUUUGAAAAUUUUACUUUGCCAUGGUAUUUUGACCCCUACCAUGGUAUAUUGAACCCCCUACUUUAGACCUUGGAUUUCAAUAAACCUAGCUAUUAUAACUUUUUAACAUAGUCAUGAUAGUAAUUAUAUUCCAAUAAGAAGUUUCUAUGUAUUUUACUUGCUUGAAAAGAUGUUUUGAAAAUUUACUUAGCUCUGGUAUUUUGACCCCUCCUUUGCAGUAUAUUGAACCCCCUACUAUAGACCUUGGAUUAAAAAUAAUCUAGCUUUUAUAACUCUUUAACAUAGUUAUUAUAUUACAAUAAGUAGUUUGUAUGUAUAUUUUUUGCUUGAAAAGAUGUUUUUAAAAGUUUACUUAGCCAUGGUAUUUUGAUCCCCUGCGGUACAUUGAAUCCCUUACUAUAGAUAGACCUCUCAUUUCAAAACUUCUAGCUAUACUAAUUAACUCCUUAACAUAGUAAUAAUACUCAAAUAAGUAGUUUGUAUGUAUUUAACAUGAAGGAAAAUAUGUUUUGAAAAUUUUACUCUGCCAUUGUAUUUUAACCCCCUACCAUGGUAUAUUGAACCCCCUAUGAUAGACCUUGGAUUUAAAAAAAUAUAGCUGUUAUAACUCCUUAACAUAGUAAUUAUAUUCCAAUAAGUAAUUCGUGUGUAUUAUACUUGCUUGAAAAGAUGUUUUGAAAAUUUUACUUAGCCAUGGUAUUUUGACCCCCUUGUAGUAUAUUGACCCCUACUAAAUACCUCCAAUUAAAAAAAUGAUAGCCAACAAUUUGUAAAUUAGACUAUCUGCAAUACUAUUUAUCAAAAACAGGGGGGGGAUGGGGAUUCAAAAUAUCAUAUGGGUAAAAUUACCCUUGGGUCACUUUUUAGGGGUUCAAAAUACCAUAUGACACCGGUCAGGAAAAACAGCCUUUGUAUGUGAUUUGAUGCAUAUUUUCUACUUCUAGAAAGAAUCUAUAGGCCCCAUUAUGUAUGGAAUUGAUACAAGAAGAUGUUUUACAUCCAUAGCCUUCUCAUUCUAUUUGAGGAAAAACCAAACUUUCAUACAAUUUUAUUAAUACAUCGAAACAAACACCUCCUAAAAGUUAAAGCGUUAACUUUAACCAUCCCUAAUGCUUUAUUUGCUGAAUAUGCAACGGCUUUUGCAGUUAUAGUCUAAAUGCUCAUUAAAAAGUUAUGACAAUUACAAUUAACAAAUACAUCAGAUCUAGGUAUAGAGAGUGUUCAAAAUUGUACAACAUAACACUUUGUUUGUAAUAAUUGUCUAUACAUCAUGAAGAUAAAGCAUUUAAAAAAAGUUGUUGCACUUUUCAUAGUUUGUCAUAAUAAUCAGCAUAUAAUACAUUUCAGGUUUUUUCACAAAAUUGUAAUUGGCAGUCUAAGAACUCAAGAAAUGAAACUAAAUUAUUUAUAUACAAGUUAAACAAAAUUGGGCACAAGGGACAUCCUUGUUUCAAGCCACAGUUUACAUCAAAUCACUCUGUGAAAUGAUUAUAUAUUCCUACAUAACAUAACACAUUUGUAAAAAUGGACUUAAUAGCAGAAUAAAAAGUCUGGAAUACACCAAUUAUAUUUAGUUAAUACCAUAACAUCUCUUUCCAAAGUGUUGUAAGCCUUUUAAAAAAUUAAUAAAGCCACAAAAUGUUGAUUAAGGAAGUGUUUUUCUAUCAAAUUAGUAAGAGUAGAUAAUUGUUCUUUUGUACUACAAACAGUUCUGAAGCUAGAACAUUAUUAUCAUCUACCAACUGAGCUAAUCUAUCAGUCAGUACAGUACAGUAUUAUAAGUAAGACACUGAUGCAGGGGCAACCAUUUAUAACAAAGGGGAUCUCUCGCAUCUUACAUGUUAAAUUUAGAAACAAAAUUCAUAAUACAUCAAUAUUUUUAAUAGAACAUCAACAGGAUCCAUUAUAUACUAACUAUACUAUACUAAACUAUACAACACUAUCUAAUUAAUAAGUGGAUUAUAUAACCCUGUUUACCAUCAGUGAUUUUGCAGAUCCAUUUAACCAAACAUUUUU
RNAcentral lists this long non-coding RNA (3710 nucleotides) under Mytilus galloprovincialis (Mediterranean mussel). Lineage: Eukaryota; Metazoa; Mollusca; Bivalvia; Mytilida; Mytilidae. The record is from RNAcentral.